RNAcentral lists this long non-coding RNA (734 nucleotides) under Amphibalanus amphitrite. RNAcentral describes it as "uncharacterized LOC122394176, transcript variant X7". Lineage: Eukaryota; Metazoa; Arthropoda; Thecostraca; Balanomorpha; Balanidae. The record is from RNAcentral.
CGCUGGGCGGCUUCGAUUUCGACGCAGACAAUCCCAGGUCGAUGUCCGUACUCUCACGUCCGUCCGCGAGUUGUCGCGCGGUCCACCAGGGAGAGGUGGCAAGCAGACUGUCCAACUGGCUGGUACUGCAUCGUUAUAGGGGACCGCUGGUCCGAGCCGCUACCAGGGAGGAGGCUGUUGACACUCAUCAGCUCUGGUCGGGCCACUGGGGAUGAUCGGAGCAGUAUCUUCACCGGAUUGAGAGAUCAAUGUCCGAGUUCGCCUAAUGUAACGACAAUGAAUGCCAAGCUGGCCGCUGCUUGGUCUGCGGUGAAGCAGUGGACACCUAAGCGCACGUGUUGCCGGAGUGUCCGUGCUUUUACGGGCCUCGGCUGUGUGCGCUAUGGAACAUCGUCGGCGCGGCCCUCGAUGUCAAGCGCGACGACGUGGUGGUGACCUUAGCCGCCGGCUACGAGGCCCGCAAGAGGCUUGUAUUGGCUACGGCGGUAGCUGUGGGGACACAGCAACAACGACAUCAACAGCUGGCGGCGGAAGUGGCCCCGGAGCUACGCACCUGCGGACAGAGCUACCGCUGAUCCACAUCUCAGCUGAUGAUGCUCAACAGACGGAGAGACUGAGGCGCUGGACAGCGAGUCUGUCUGUGGUUGUGCUGAAGACGGCGUCGGACGACCAUCAGUUCCGGCUGGCGAAUCUAGCCAGCUCCGACCCCGUCCAGCUGCCCGACGAGUGCUUAC